AGCGAACGCUGGCGGCAGGCCUAACACAUGCAAGUCGAACGAACUCUUCGGAGUUAGUGGCGGACGGGGGAGGAACACGUGGGAACGUGCCUGUUGGUUCGGAAUAGCUCAGGGAAACUUGUGCUAAUACCGAAUGUGCCCUUCGGGGGAAGGAUUUAUCGCCAUUAGAGCGGCCCUUGUCAGAUUAGCUAGUUGGGGAGGUAACGGCGCGCCAAGGAGACGAUCAGUAGCUGGUCGGAGAGGAUGACCAGCCACACUGGGAAUGCGGCACGGCCCAGAAGCCUACGGGAGGCAGCAGUGGGGAAUCUUGCGCGAUGGGCGAAAGCCUGACGCAGCCAUGCCGCGUGAAUGAUGAAGGUCUUAGGAUUGUAAAAUUCUUUCACCGGGGACGAUAAUGACGGUACCCGGAGAAGAAGCCCCGGCUAACUUCGUG
This 433-nucleotide ribosomal RNA is filed under the name uncultured bacterium. Its description in RNAcentral is "partial 16S ribosomal RNA". It matches the Rfam family "Bacterial small subunit ribosomal RNA", at positions 29 to 507 of the family's 1533-position model. The record is from RNAcentral.